Molecule: long non-coding RNA, 487 nt
Organism: Lates calcarifer (barramundi perch)
Lineage: Eukaryota; Metazoa; Chordata; Actinopteri; Centropomidae
Exons: 3
Source: RefSeq, a predicted model, not a curated record
GUCCUCCUCCUCCUCCUCCUCUGCCGCCGCCGCCUUCUCCUUCCCCUCCUUCUCACGCCGCCCGGCGCUCCACAGGUCACGAGGCUGGAGGGAGAGAACAGACUGGACUUUGGAAACGACUCCAAAAGUGACAGUGAGGCUUCAAAACAACCCUUUAAACUUCACGUCCCAGAAGUCCCGGCUGCUCGUUAACUGAACACCUGUUUGAGGCUGAAACAGGACGAGUGUGUUUUGUCUGGACAGUGGAGAGGUGCAAAACAUUUUACACCUUUCCCCCUGCUGUGAAACAAUCACCUGCCACCACAGGAAACCAGCGUGACUGCAGAACACACUUUCCAGCCGGCUUUCAGGUAAACUCUGGAUCGGAGGCCUUACUGCUCCCGGGGUCGUCCGUGUCUCCUCCGUCCUCUUCGUCCGAGUCAGUGGAGUGCUCCGCUUGUUUUAUCGUGUCCGUCACAGGUAACGCCGCUCUGCCGUUGGUCCCGUU